UGAUCUGCAACAAUGUUACUUACAAAAAUGGCGUCAACUAGUGAAUCCAUCACGGAACCACCAUAAAAAGGAUGCUGUUGUCAUGCAAAGGGAAGUCGACUAGAAGGGUGAUAGCAAAACUUAGAUAUGUGGAGCUCUAUCAUUCAGCUAACAUUGUAUCGAGGGAAUGAGAGAAGGUUGUGUUGUUACAACUUGCAAGUGCGGCUAGGAGUGACAGUUUGAGACAAAAGUAUUGUUGCAAGUGCUCCUAGGAGUAAU
This 258-nucleotide long non-coding RNA is filed under the name Helianthus annuus (common sunflower). Its description in RNAcentral is "sRNA HanXRQr2_Chr06g0249801". Lineage: Eukaryota; Viridiplantae; Streptophyta; Magnoliopsida; Asterales; Asteraceae. The record is from RNAcentral.